ACCCACGAGAAUGGGAGGAUUGGCCCCGCGGAGCCUCCGUAGCUCGGGGGCGCACGUGGGCGCCGGCCACGCCCCCCCGGUUCCCUAGGCAACCACACCUGCCCCGCCCGGUCUCCCGCGGUCGUUGGCGCGGAGCGAUGGCGGCUCCGUGACGUCAUCGCCGCGCGCCGCCAGGACACCGGCUGGGAGCGCGCCGGCCGCGGCCACUGGUGGGGGCGGGUGCCCUCGCCUCCGGUGGGUUGGAAGGGCGCGCGUGGGCUGCGCGGCGGGGCCCUGGCCGGCCACCCACGGAGGCCCGGAGCCGCACCCCCAAGGGAGGGCGUGUAGGGGACCCCUCGCUGGGCUUAGCCGUCCUCGUUCUAGUCAUAUGCGACCCUCACGACCACCCUGGGAGGGUCACCAUGAUGACAUCCAAGCCAAAGAGAAUUAAGUUUUCUGAGGAAGAGAAGAUUGUGAUCUUGGAAGAGUUCAGCCUGCGGAAGGACAUUCUCAUCCCCAAGACAGGCCGCUACCGCAACACGUCGGACCGGCAGCAAGCCUGGGAAGAGAUCACGAUGGCCGUGAACUCGCUGAACCCCCUUGUGCAGCGCACACCCGAAGAGGUCCGCAAGAAGUGGAAGAACAUGAUCCUUGACGCCCGCAAGGAGCUGGCCACCGCAAAGCACCCCCUCCUCCGGCGGCGCCCCCAGGAGCGCCUCUUCCAUAACAUCUUUGCCCUCUUCAAUAAGACAGGCUCUGAGCUCCCCGAACCGCUGUAUGCGGCCGGCCCCGGCUUUCGGACUAAAGGUCCCGCUAGCCCCUCGGGGCCUGCCUGCAAGGUGGAAGGCUUUCUGGACCCCGUUGUGCCCAACUUGGUGCUCCGGCCCCAGGGUGGUGGGAUAGAGCCCGGCCAGGAGAGGGAGGGUCUCUGUCAGAUUGAGAUGGGCAGAAAACUAGACUCUUGGCCCGAAGUCACAGGGAAGAGCCUCCUCCCACCCCCUGUGGAGGUUCAGGCCCGAUUCAAGGAGGACAGUCUAACCGAGGAUGCCUCCGACUAUGGCGAGAAGAGGCUGUUAGACCCGCUGAAAGACUUGCCUCUGCACUGUGAGCCCGUGCCCCAGGUGCAUCCCGUCGCGGCCAGCAGGGCAGUGUCACCGGAGGGCCCAUCCGGGGACGUGCCCCCUCUCUGUGUGAUGCCAGUGCCAGCAAGCCCAUCUCCAGACCCGGCUCUGACUUAUAAGAUUAAAUGUCCCGUGAGUCCUUUGCUAGACUGGCCCUGUUUGGGAGUGAGCUCGAGCCCCGUCACGCCCAGCGGCCGCAUGGACGCUCUGAGCACGGAAGGGAUCCACACGGCCAUAAACGACAAUGUGAGCGGCUCGGUGGUGACUGCGGAGGAGGAUUUGCUGCCAGGUCCCCGGCCCAGCGAGGAGGGGCUCCCAGAGAAGGAUGCUGGGGAACUGGCCAAGCAGAGCCGCCUCCAGACAGAGAUACUGGAGCUGCAGAAGGAGACACUGCAGCUGCAGAAAGAGAAGAUUCUGCUGGAAAAGGAGAAACUGGUCCUGGAGAUUGUCAAGCUGAGGCGGGAGCUGGGCACCUGAGCUGCCUGGCCCUGCCUGCCUGCCACCCACAGCCCGAACUCCUGCCCACGCCCAGAGGCCUUCUCCUUCACAGUGCCUAUCUGGGCCUGCCCAGGCGAAGCCGCCACCCCCUCCUCCUCUGCUGUCCCUCAGCAGUUACCCCCACUCUGGGGCAAGAGGGUGGGCUCUCUGUGGCCUGCUCCUGGAAAGAAGCCCCAGGAGUCCUGUUUGGGUUGGGCUGGGAAGGGUGUGAGAGGCUCCCAGCCCAGACUUUGCUCCGCAGAGCUCUGCCUGGGCUGUGUGGGGUCAGAAACCUGAAGCAAGAGCUCAGAGCCCCUUAGCAGGUGCCAGGGGGUGGGGAUGAGCACAUGUGGCCUCGGCUCCCAGCCAGCCCUCUGCCCCAGGUCAGGAGGUCCAGCGUGCAGGACAGGCCUCCACUGGCCAUUGGUCAGGUCAACAAGGAUCCAUUUCUCAGGCCCCCAGCUGUGGGCUAAAGGGACAGGCUCGUGGAUCCCUGUGCCAGGAGCCCGGGCCUCCUGGGGCUGCUGUCAGAGAAGUAAAAGCAUCCAGGUUUCCUUAUCACUGGGUCUGCCUCCCUGACUUUUCUGAUUCAGCCUCCCUUAUUUAUGGGAGGAACACUGGUUAGGCAGCCUUGGCAAGCCCUCUGUGGGGUGCCUAGCUGUCUGUCCACGCAGGAAAAUCACCCUUGCCGCCCGCCCAGGAAAGUCUACUAGGCAGGGCUAGAAGGGCCCUGGGAGCCCAAGGCCUUGUAGGACAGAGAAGGAAAGGGAGACUGGAGAGGGGAGAAGCUCGUGUCCCUCGUCGAGCGCCCUUGCUACGACCAGGGCUGGCGCAGGCACUGACCCCCAGCUGACCUUGGUUUUUGUCUCAUCUGCCCUCCUGGUCUCUGUGGGAUUUGUGAGAACCCUGGAGGGUUAGAGGCAAGAGCUGCUGUGGAGAUUGGUCUGUUGUGUGCUGGAAGGCUCUCCAGCGUGGUGUAUUGGAGAGAACCCAGAAUUGG
RNAcentral lists this long non-coding RNA (2577 nucleotides) under Phascolarctos cinereus (koala). Its description in RNAcentral is "lncRNA (ENSPCIG00000001871.2)". Lineage: Eukaryota; Metazoa; Chordata; Mammalia; Diprotodontia; Phascolarctidae. The record is from RNAcentral.